AGAAUCAACGCUGGCGGCGUGCCUAACACAUGCAAGUCGAACGCGAAAGCCCCGCAAGGGGUGAGUAGAGUGGCAAACGGGUGAGUAACACGUGGGUGACCUGCCUCAGAGUGGGGGAUAACGACCCGAAAGGGUCGCUAAUACCGCAUAACAUCCUGCGUUUGGAAACGCGGAGAUCAAAGCCGGGGAUUCGCAAGAACCUGGCGCUUAGAGAGGGGCCCGCGGCCGAUUAGGCUAGUUGGUGAGGUAACGGCUCACCAAGGCGACGAUCGGUA
This 275-nucleotide ribosomal RNA is filed under the name uncultured bacterium. RNAcentral describes it as "partial small subunit ribosomal RNA". It matches the Rfam family "Bacterial small subunit ribosomal RNA", at positions 26 to 285 of the family's 1533-position model. The record is from RNAcentral.